UAAGCAAAAUCCAGCUCCUCUCUGCAAGCACUGCAAAUGGAGAGUGCUGGAAUUCUCCCCUCUGGUUGCAUGUUGGAGCUGUCAAUGAGCAUAGCACAAGAACAGAAAUUGAUCAGAGACACUGAAUUAGCCCAGCAACUUCUAGACUUGCAAAUGUUAGUAGUGGGAAAGUUUCCAGAACAACUUUGCUUGAAUGCACCCAAGAGCCGCUCUCCCUCUGCACUGCCAUUAUUUCACUGACGUCUUCCUUAUUGUUUCAAGAGGCAGUCAGUUUGUGAUUUCAUGUCCUGAUUGCCUUCCUCUUUGUUUCCCUUUUCUGAAUAACAUUUUCUUUUGGAUGGCUUGGCAAGCAGGUCAUUAAGCGUAGAAGAGGCAGAACUUUGUUCAUGUGCUCAAAGUGCUUGGAGUCCAGCAUUUCUUCUACAGUGUCUUCGAGAUCUCAUCCCAAAAUGUUCAUUGUGGGCCACCUCAUGCUCCUUGCAAUUGGUGUCUCCCUCCACACAGCACCAUCAGAAGGAGAGCUGAUAAGAACAUAUCGAGGAUGUCAUGGUAAGUCUGAAUGUGGUAAGAAAAGAACCUUCCCUCCUUCAAGAAGUAGUGAAGUCGUCUGUUGCCAUGAUCGUGACUUCUGCAAUGAAAACUUAUAGAGAGGUGCCUGAAGAUCUUCAUCAAGCAUGGCUAUGCCAAUUAUCUUCUUAUUUGACCUUUGCUCUCCUUGAACCAAUGAAUCCUAACCAUGCUUGUCUGGGAGACUCCCUGCAUUCUUAAGAAUUAAAGUGUAGAAUUGUUCAGAAGUCCAAGAUUAUACUGUGCUUUUAAAAAGGGGGUAGCUUUAUACAGUUUAGAAUACAAAUUUGGGAACACGUAUCCCAUGCAGACAAUCUCUUUGAAAAGAAAAGAAUAGAACAUCAUGGGAUUUUGUAGGGCGAUUGGACAACAACUCCCUGAAUUCUCCAAGCAACAUGUUGCCUGGAGCAUACUGGGGAUUGUAGU
Molecule: long non-coding RNA, 993 nt
Filed under: Pogona vitticeps (central bearded dragon)
Lineage: Eukaryota; Metazoa; Chordata; Lepidosauria; Squamata; Agamidae
Description: lncRNA (ENSPVIG00000016447.1)
Source: RNAcentral